This 492-nucleotide ribosomal RNA is filed under the name Triticum aestivum (bread wheat). RNAcentral's name for it is "partial small subunit ribosomal RNA". Lineage: Eukaryota; Viridiplantae; Streptophyta; Magnoliopsida; Poales; Poaceae. The record is from RNAcentral.
AUGGAACAGAUGGCCACAUCAUAUUUCAAGGAGGUGUACACCAAGGACCCAACCUUAACUCCGGAGGUCAUCCUGGAUUGUAUCACUCCAAAGUUCACAAAUGAUAUGAAUGAUGCUCUAUGUGCACCGUUCUCUAAACAGGAUGUUUCUGACGCUUUGUUUCAGAUUGGUCCUUUAAAGGCACCUGGCUCGGCCGGUUUGCCGGCCAGGUUUUAUCAACGCAAUUGGGCGGUUCUUAAAUAUGAAAUUGUUGGAGUUGUCCAGGAAUUCUUUAAUUCUGGGGUUAUGCCGGAAGGAGUUAAGGAUACAGCUAUUGUCCUAAUCCCAAAAGUUUCACAUCCAAAGGAACUAAAGGAUUUCAGGCCAAUAAGCUUAUGCAAUGUCAUUUAUAAGAUCAUCUCUAAGUGCUUGGUUAAUCAUCUACGCCCUUUGUUAAUGGAACUUAUUUCUAAGAACCAAAGUGCUUUUAUUUUGGCGUCUUAUUACAGAUAA